Molecule: non-coding RNA, 31 nt
Filed under: Rattus norvegicus (Norway rat)
Lineage: Eukaryota; Metazoa; Chordata; Mammalia; Rodentia; Muridae
Source: RNAcentral
CUGGAUGUCGAUGACUUUCUAGUGCAGUCAC